Molecule: non-coding RNA, 1020 nt
Filed under: Drosophila persimilis
Lineage: Eukaryota; Metazoa; Arthropoda; Insecta; Diptera; Drosophilidae
Description: Eukaryotic large subunit ribosomal RNA
Rfam family: Eukaryotic large subunit ribosomal RNA
Source: Rfam by way of RNAcentral
GAGGGAAAGUUGAAAAAGGACCUCUGAAUAGAGAGUUAACCAGUACGUGAAACUGCCUUAGAGGUUAAGCCCGAUGAACCUGAAUAUCCCGUUAUGGAAAAUUCAUCAUUAAAGUUGUAAUAUUUUUUUUCAUUUUCAUUUUUCCCAUAUAAGGACAUUGUAAUCUAUUUAGCAUAUAACAAAUUUAUCAUAAAAUAUGACUUAUAGUUUAUUCAAAUUAUUAUGCUUGCAUUUUAACAUAGAAUAAAUGUCAUUAAUUUCGAUAAAGUGUUGAUAAAUUAAAAUUAAUACAGUGCGUUAAUUUUUCGAAAUUAUAUAAUGGCAUAAUUAUCAUUGAUUUUUGUGUUUAUUAUAUGCAUUUGUAUGAUUAACAAUGCGAAAGAUUCAGGAUACCUUCGGGACCCGUCUUGAAACACGGACCAAGGAGUCUAACAUAUGUGCAAGUUAUUGGGAGAUAAACCUAAUAGCGUAAUUAACUUGACUAAUAAUGGGAUUAGUUUUUUAACUAUUUAUAGAUAAUUAACACAAUCCCGGGGUGUUCUAUAUAGUUAUGUAUUAUAAUAAUAUAUUUAUAAUAAUAAUAUAUUUAUAUUAUUUAUGCCUCUAACUGGAACGUACCUUGAGCAUAUAUGCUAUGACCCGAAAGAUGGUGAACUAUACUUGAUCAGGUUGAAGUCAGGGGAAACCCUGAUGGAAGACCGAAACAGUUCUGACGUGCAAAUCGAUUGUCAGAAUUGAGUAUAGGGGCGAAAGACCAAUCGAACCGAGGCCUUAGGGUCGAAACGAUCUUAACCUAUUCUCAAACUUUAAAUGGGUAAGAACCUUAACUUUCUUGAUAUGAAGUUUAAGGUUAUGAUAUAAUGUGCCCAGUGGGCCACUUUUGGUAAGCAGAACUGGCGCUGUGGGAUGAACCAAACGUAAUGUUACGGUGCCCAAAUUAACAACUCAUGCAGAAACCAUGAAAGGCGUUGGUUGCUUAAAACACCAGGACGGUGAUCAUGGAAGUCGAAAUCCGCUAAG